GGGUUCCCCGGUGUAGGUGGGUGCAGCCCCCCGGGGCUGAUGCUGCCACAUCUAAAGGCCAUCUACCCAGAAUCACAGGGAACUGGAUAAGACUCUAUGAAGGGGAGAUUGGUAAAGGCCCUUUAACCAGAUCUGAGCAAUGGGGAACAGUUGCAAAUGCUUCCCAAGAGCCUCUCAGUAAAAAGAGAUAAAGAAUAAUGGGAUAAUGAAAAUGCUUCACACUUUGGUUUUGGAAGAGGAGGGAGGAUACAGAGAAGCCCAAGGGUGAGAAGGUGUGGAAACAUGGAGAGGGCAUGGCUUUCCCAAAGCCACAGAGAACUAGCUUAGAACAGAGCUGGGGAUACAGCUCAUGAUCCUGCACCCCUUCGGGGCUUAUCUUUACAAUGCUCUGUGCUUCGACAACACUGUGGGGACACAGUCCCCUCCCCCUCCUUCUGUAAGACCAUUUAUUUGCUCACAAAUCAGGAUUAUUCAAGACA
Molecule: long non-coding RNA, 479 nt
Organism: Zalophus californianus (California sea lion)
Lineage: Eukaryota; Metazoa; Chordata; Mammalia; Carnivora; Otariidae
Exons: 3
Source: RefSeq, a predicted model, not a curated record